GCAGCCGUAGCUCAGCUGGAUAGAGCGCUGCCCUCCGAAGGCAGAGGUCCCGAGUUCGAAUCUCGGCGGCUGCACCA
RNAcentral lists this transfer RNA (77 nucleotides) under Phaeospirillum sp. RNAcentral describes it as "tRNA-Arg". It matches the Rfam family "tRNA". From Rfam's summary of the family: Transfer RNA (tRNA) molecules are approximately 80 nucleotides in length. The record is from RNAcentral. Lineage: Bacteria; Pseudomonadati; Pseudomonadota; Alphaproteobacteria; Rhodospirillales; Rhodospirillaceae.